CCUACGGGAUGCUGCAGUGAGGAAUAUUGGUCAAUGGUCGGGAGACUGAACCAGCCAAGCCGCGUGAGGGAUGAAGGUACAGAGUAUCGUAAACCUCUUUUGUCAGGGAACAAAGGCGGGGACGUGUCCCCGGAUGAGUGUACCUGAAGAAAAAGCAUCGGCUAACUCCGUGCCAGCAGCCGCGGUAACACGGAGGAAGCGAGCGUUAUCCGGAUUUAUUGGGUUUAAAGGGUGCGCAGGCGGUCUGUUAAGUCAGCGGUAAAAGCGCGGGGCUCAACCCCGGCCCGCCGUUGAAACUGGCAGUCUCGAGUUGGAGAGAAGUAUGCGGAAGGCGCGGUGUAGCGGUGAAAUGCAGAGAUAUCGCGCAGAACUCCGAUUGCGAAGGCAGCAUGCCGGCUCCACACUGACGCUGAGGCACGAAAGCGUGGGUAUCGAACAGGAUUAGAUACCCUUGUAGUC
This 459-nucleotide ribosomal RNA is filed under the name uncultured bacterium. Its description in RNAcentral is "partial 16S ribosomal RNA". It matches the Rfam family "Bacterial small subunit ribosomal RNA", at positions 338 to 795 of the family's 1533-position model. The record is from RNAcentral.